GCCCAUCUUCACUUGUGGUUUUCCCACUGAAUCUGAAAGGAGGGCAGGAAUCAGUGAAAGGUGAAUGCUCUUGGCAAACGACUGUAUUAAAAGAGAAUACCUCCAGUCCCCUCUCUUACAGAAACUGGUGUAAACCUGGAAGAGUGCUGUGAAAGCUCCCAUUCAGUGGAAUUUUCCACUUGGCUUAUAUACAUAUGUAUGCUGUGUGCUGCUGGGAUGCUGGCAGAGUGGAUGCAGGGACUACAGAAUGAGUGGCUUCUUUGGUGCUUCAAGUACAGGAAAAACAUAAGUGGAUAAUGAUAAGAAAUGGCUUAUAAAAGCCAGCUCUUGAAAGUGCUGUAAUGUAGCAGUUAUUCAGAAAGUGAAUGGCAGGGUUUCACAAAAGACUACGUAUCAUAGACACCACACUUCAAGCUGUGAUGGUGAUUUCUGUAUUUUGAUUUAUUUCAAGGUUUGCAUUCAUUAGGAUUGAUAAAAGGUUAAUAAUAAGCCCCAACAUUUCUGACCGUACCAGCAAAGAGUGCCACUUGCACCUUUCUGUUUUCUCUGUGCUGAGUCCCUGCAGAUCUGUAACCUAGGGGAAGAGAAAGCACCUGUAGCUAUCUGAAUAUAUUGGAACACAAUGUGCACUGUGGAAGGGGUUGAUCCCAGGUUCCCCACUAACCUAGCUGAAGUAUGUUGUUUGAAAUAUUGAGCUCCUAAAGAAAAAACCAAACCAAAACAAAACAGGCCAGUGUGGCUUCCUCUUACUGUUUUGGUUGUGUUUUAUCAAUCAGAACUGGCUUUGGGUUCCUGCCACGAUGGAGGUAUAAAGAGCUGUGAAACCCAGGUAGUCAAGCAUCUCCUUGAUGCAGAUGCACACCAGAUGGGGAAAGAAAGAUGACAAAAGGGAGCUCAACACUUCUAUCCCCUACUGAUGUCAACAUCAUCUCUGAAGAAAGCUUCACCUUCCAUCCGAAGGAGCUGUCAAGAAUAAUCUGGAAGAGUAAAAGAGUCUUAUUGGAAAAUGCCUCCUUACCUUCAGUAAUCUAAUAAUCUACAGUGGUAAGGUCAAAUAAUUUUUAGUGAUAUAGCCUUUAAUCUUCUAUCAAUAACUUCUUUUAAUUACAGCUGAGCUGCUGAAAUGUAUAGAGAUCUUUCUGGAGUUAAAAUGAACAGCUAUAACUCUGCUCUGAAGAGUCCACUAUUGCCAAAGAGACAGCAGUUCCCUUUCUCUAUUACCACCUCCCUAGAAAUCAACUGGCUGCAAAAACAAAAGGUGUUGAGCCCAUGACAUCAUGCCAAAAAUCUGGUGGUGUCAUAACUCAUAUCCGUGACAAACUGAGCCAAGAUUACUGAAGAAGAUUUUUGUGGCUUAUUCUAAUCUACACCUACUUGACUUUGACUUUCCAUGUUUCUAACUAGCUAGCUACACUAAGAGCUGUGGAUAUAUUUUCUAGAUAAUUGUGACUAUCUCUGUGGGCCAUGAUUUUUUAAAAUACCAAUGAGUCUGACAUUGUACGUUCCCCAGGGAGAAGGGAACACGUUGCCUGGGAGCCAGGAAGGCCUGCUCAGAGCAGGGUGAUCCCAGUACUGAGCAGCACAGUCCAGGCUGUAACAUGCAUACUGAUCACUUAAAGUCUUUUGGGUAGAUUAAUAAAAGUACAAAACAUUAUUAAAGCCAAAGUACAAGUUUCAUAGCCCACCACCCACCCUGAAAAGUUGCAGUUCUCCCUUGAUUUCAUAUAACAAAUUUUGCUGAGUUACUUGAAGACCUCACAACUCCAGUUUCCGAUGGCUUCAGAGGUUUUGUUUGGUAAUGGUGCAGUGAUAACUUCACUGGUUCUGCAGGGUAGUACUGCAAGACUCCAGCUCUUUAUAAAAAAAAACAAGUAAAUCAAAACUCAGUGUACUUCACAUCAAAGGAAGACUGUAUUUUACUCCUUUCUCUACGUGUAGGACUCUCCAGAAGUCCAAAACGAAGAUGCAUAUAAUGACCUUGCAAAUAAGAUCAGUGUAAUUCAGAGAAUGAAAUUAAUUCUUCAAGCCCUGGCUUUGUUUGUCACUUACCAUCACUGUAGUUUCUUUUCAUCCUUAAUUUUUGCUCCUCUCCAGUAUUUCCUAUAAAGAGUUUUAUUUAGAGGAAGAAAUAAAAAGAGGAGUUUAUGCAUCCAUUAUUUAAUGAUGGACUUCUAUCCUGGGGGGAAAUAGGCAAGAAGGAUUCAGAUGGCAGAGUGAAGUGAAUUAAAGACCAAAAAAUUUCCUAAAUUUGGCUGAGAGUUUAUUACUUAAUUUGCAUAACUCUGGUUUUAAUGUCAGUGACUUCUUUCCUGAUUCAUUGUUGGGAUUUUUUUGUUUUCAAAUUUAAUUGCUUGUGUAUUAAUUUUCACAAUUCUGGAGCCAGCAUCCCUGUGAGAUCUAAUUUAAGGAUUGUAUUUCCUCUUUGGAAAAUA
This is a long non-coding RNA of Taeniopygia guttata (zebra finch), 2432 nucleotides long. The record is from Ensembl. NCBI's taxonomy places the organism in Eukaryota, Metazoa, Chordata, Aves, Passeriformes, Estrildidae.